GAGAAGGAAGGAGAGGGGAGGAGGGAGAAAGAGAGAGGAAAGAGGGGAGGGAGGUGUGGCGGCCGGCGUCAGCCUGCGCCGGCGAGGUCAGGCGCGACCUGGCGGUUGGCGGCGGCUCGAUCCGUUCCUGGAUCGGGAGCUGCGAGGAGGCUGGGGCUCGGGCGCGGUGCACGGGAGGCUGCACCCCGCCUCCAUCUCCACGCGUGCAGCGGCGACCCCGGGAGGAGCUCGAGCCACAGCGGUGGUCCACGGCGCCGGCGUCAGUAGGAGGAGCGUGGGCCGCAGAGACGGCCGGCUCCGUCCGGCUUUUGCGCUGCCGUCCAUCCACCCGAGCGAUCAGUCCGCGCGUCCUCGCCUCCGUCCUCUCACGCACGCCCUCGUGUCUGGAUAUUUGGUAAUUUCUUUUCUGAGCAUAAAUAGAUAUUGUGCCCCCACCUGUUUGUUGUUUUGCCCAGCUGAAAGGUGGAUCAAAUAUGAAAGACGUGAGCGUUCAAUAGUGUGAAAAACAAGCCCUGGUCUUGUUGAAGUUCCAUUGAAUUUCUGUGAUACUAAUGCUCAUAUUUUGCAAUUUGCUCUCCACAGCUUUCAGUCACGGAUUCUUGAGGAAAACAAGAAAACAGGUAAUAUAUAUAUGAUUAGUGUUUGGGUGACCGUUGAUUCCUACACCGAGUUGUGUUGCUGUACAAAUAGCCUCUCUUUUUGAUGGUGACAGGGUGUCCCUUCCAGGUUCAGCAGCAGGCAAUGCUCAGGACAGAGUUGGGUGCACAUCAUAUAUAUACAUAUGUUGUCGCAUCUUAAUAAACGGAGAUGAGCAGAAGCAGAGAUGAGAUAUCUAUCCGACUGUCAUCCUUCCCAGACUUGGGUCUGUCAUCUCUGGCACCAUAACUCUAAUCCGACAUGAGCAGUGCAACCACGACAGUGGGCAGUGGAAUCACAAGAUAG
Molecule: long non-coding RNA, 942 nt
Organism: Triticum aestivum (bread wheat)
Lineage: Eukaryota; Viridiplantae; Streptophyta; Magnoliopsida; Poales; Poaceae
Exons: 4
Source: RefSeq, a predicted model, not a curated record